CCGGGGCCGCACGCGCGCCACAUUGAAGGAAUCAGCGUGUGAUUUCCCUUUCCGACAGGAUUGGGUAACCCGUUGAACCUCCUUCGUGCUGGGGAUAGAUCCUUGUAAUUAGGUCUUGAACGAGGAAUUCCCAGUAAGCACGAGUCAUCAGCUCGUGUUGAUUACGUCCCUGCCCUUUGCACACACCGCCCGUCGCUACUACCGAUUGAAUGAUUAAGUGAGGUCUUCGGACUGGCGCUCGGAUCCGGCAUUGCCUAUUCCGCUGCGACGGAAAGAUGUCCAAACUUGAUUAUUUAGAGAUAGUAAAAGUCGUAACAAGGUCGCC
Molecule: ribosomal RNA, 325 nt
Filed under: Mysmena sp. MYSM-035-THAI
Lineage: Eukaryota; Metazoa; Arthropoda; Arachnida; Araneae; Mysmenidae
Description: bacterial SSU rRNA
Rfam family: Eukaryotic small subunit ribosomal RNA
Source: RNAcentral